RNAcentral lists this ribosomal RNA (750 nucleotides) under bacterium. RNAcentral describes it as "bacterial SSU rRNA". It matches the Rfam family "Bacterial small subunit ribosomal RNA", at positions 34 to 766 of the family's 1533-position model. The record is from RNAcentral.
CCCCAUGGCGGCGUGCUAUACAUGCAGUCGAGCGAACUGAUUAGAAGCUUGCUUCUAUGACGUUAGCGGCGGACGGGUGAGUAACACGUGGGCAACCUGCCUGUAAGACUGGGAUAACUUCGGGAAACCGAAGCUAAUACCGGAUAGGAUCUUCUCCUUCAUGGGAAAUGAUUGAAAGAUGGUUUCGGCUAUCACUUACAGAUGGGCCCGCGGUGCAUUAGCUAGUUGGUGAGGUAACGGCUCACCAAGGCAACGAUGCAUAGCCCACCUGAGAGGGUGAUCGGCCACACUGGGACUGAGACCCGGCCCAAACUCCUACGGGAGGCAGCAGUAGGGAAUCUUCCGCAAUGGACGAAAGUCUGACGGAGCAACGCCACGUGAGUGAUGAAGGCUUUCGGGUCGUAAAACUCUGUUGUUAGGGAAGAACAAGUACGAGAGUAACUGCUUGUACCUUGACGGUACCUAACCAGAAAGCCACGGCUAACUACGUGCCAGCAGCCGCGGUAAUACGUAUGUGGCAAGCGUUAUCCGGAAUUAUUGGGCGUAAAGCGCGCGCAGGCGGUUUCUUAAGUCUGAUGUGAAAGCCCACGGCUCGACCGUGGAGGGUCAUUGGAAACUGGGGAACUUGAGUGCAGAAGAUAAAAGCGGAAUUCCACGUGUAGCGGUGAAAUGCGUAGAGAUGUGGAGGAACACCAGUGGCGAAGGCGGCUUUUUGGUCUGUAACUGACGCUGAGGCGCGAAAGCGUGGAG